ACGGGUGAGUAAUAUAUAGGUAAUGUGCCCUAGAGAAGAGGAUAACAGUGGGAAACGACUGCUAAUACUCUAUAUGCCUUUUAAGACAAAAGUCUGCAAGGGAAAUAUUUAUAGCUCUAGGAUCGGCCUGUACGGGUAUCAGAUAGUUGGUGAGGUAAUGGCUCACCAAGGCAAUGACGCCUAACUGGUUUGAGAGGAUGAUCAGUCACACUGGAACUGAGACACGGUCCAGACUCCUACGGGAGGCAGCAGUGGGGAAUAUUGCACAAUGGGGGAAACCCUGAUGCAGCAACGCCGCGUGGAGGAUGACACAUUUCGGUGCGUAAACUCCUUUUAUAUAGGAAGAUAAUGACGGUACUAUAUGAAUAAGCGCCGGCUAACUCCGUGCCAGCAGCCGCGGUAAUACGGAGGGCGCAAGCGUUACUCGGAAUCACUGGGCGUAAAGAGCGUGUAGGCGGGUUAAUAAGUUUGAAGUGAAAUCCUAUGGCUCAACCAUAGAACUGCUUUGAAAACUGUUAACCUAGAAUAUGGGAGAGGUAGAUGGAAUUUCUGGUGUAGGGGUAAAAUCCGUAGAGAUCAGAAGGAAUACCGAUUGCGAAGGCGAUCUACUGGAACAUUAUUGACGCUGAGACGCGAAAGCGUGGGGAGCAAACAGGAUUAGAUACCCUGGUAGUCCACGCCCUAAA
RNAcentral lists this ribosomal RNA (686 nucleotides) under uncultured Arcobacter sp. RNAcentral describes it as "bacterial SSU rRNA". It matches the Rfam family "Bacterial small subunit ribosomal RNA", at positions 102 to 806 of the family's 1533-position model. Lineage: Bacteria; Pseudomonadati; Campylobacterota; Epsilonproteobacteria; Campylobacterales; Arcobacteraceae. The record is from RNAcentral.